CCUACGGGCGGCAGCAGUGGGGAAUAUUGCACAAUGGGCGCAAGCCUGAUGCAGCCAUGCCGCGUGUGUGAAGAAGGCCUUCGGGUUGUAAAGCACUUUCAGCGGGGAGGAAGGCGUUAAGGUUAAUAACCUUGGCGAUUGACGUUACCCGCAGAAGAAGCACCGGCUAACUCCGUGCCAGCAGCCGCGGUAAUACGGAGGGUGCAAGCGUUAAUCGGAAUUACUGGGCGUAAAGCGCACGCAGGCGGUCUGUCAAGUCGGAUGUGAAAUCCCCGGGCUCAACCUGGGAACUGCAUUCGAAACUGGCAGGCUAGAGUCUUGCAGAGGGGGGUAGAAUUCCAGGUGUAGCGGUGUAAUGCGUAGAGAUCUGGAGGAAUACCGGUGGCGAAGGCGGCCCCCUGGACAAAGACUGACGCUCAGGUGCGAAAGCAUGGGGAGCAAACAGGAUUAGAUACCCAAGGAGUC
This 465-nucleotide ribosomal RNA is filed under the name uncultured Klebsiella sp. RNAcentral's name for it is "bacterial SSU rRNA". It matches the Rfam family "Bacterial small subunit ribosomal RNA", at positions 338 to 795 of the family's 1533-position model. The record is from RNAcentral. Lineage: Bacteria; Pseudomonadati; Pseudomonadota; Gammaproteobacteria; Enterobacterales; Enterobacteriaceae.